CGAAGUCACUGAUACCACGCUUCCAGGGAAAAGCUCCUAAGCUUCAGCUUACGCAGACCGUACCGUAAACCGACACAGGUGGNUAGGAUGAGAAUUCUCAGGCGCUUGAGAGAACUCGGGUGAAGGAACUAGGCAACAUGGCACCGUAACUUCGGGAGAAGGUGCACCCUUUUUGGUGGCUCAUGCGAGCUAUAGCUGAAGAGGGUCGCAGUAACCAGGCCGCUGCGACUGUUUAUCAAAAACACAGCACUCUGCAAACACGAAAGUGGACGUAUAGGGUGUGACGCCUGCCCGGUGCUGGAAGGUUAAUUGAUGGGGUCAGCCGCAAGGCGAAGCUCUUGAUCGAAGCCCCAGUAAACGGCGCCCGUAACUAUAACGGUCCUAAGGUAGCGAAAUUCCUUGUCGGGUAAGUUCCGACCUGCACGAAUGGCGUAACGACAGCGGCGCUGUCUCCACCCGAGACUCAGUGAAAUUGAAAUCGCUGUGAAGAUGCAGCGUUCCCGUGGCAAGACGGAAAGACCCCGUGAACCUUUACUAUAGCUUUACACUGAACGUUGAGUUCGUCUGUGUAGGAUAGGUGGGAGGCUAUGAAACUGUGGCGCUAGCUGCAGUGGAGCCAUCCUUGAAAUACCACCCUGUCGUGCUUGACGUUCUAACCUGGGCCCAUUAUCCGGGUCGGGGACCGUGUAUGGUGGGUAGUUUGACUGGGGCGGUCUCCUCCUAAAGAGUAACGGAGGAGCUCGAAGGUACGCUCAGCGCGGUCGGACAUCGCGCACUGUGUGCAAAGGCAUAAGCGUGCUUGACUGCAAGAUCGACGGAUCAAGCAGGUAGGAAACUAGGACUUAGUGAUCCGGUGGUUCUGUAUGGAAGGGCCAUCGCUCAACGGAUAAAAGGUACUCCGGGGAUAACAGGCUGAUACCGCCCAAGAGUUCAUAUCGACGGCGGUGUUUGGCACCUCGAUGUCGGCUCAUCACAUCCUGGGGCUGUAGUCGGUCCCAAGGGUAUGGCUGUUCGCCAUUUAAAGUGGUACGCGAGCUGGGUUCAGAACGUCGUGAGACAGUUCGGUCCCUAUCUGCCAUGGGCGUUGGAGAUUUGAGAGGGGCUGCUCCUAGUACGAGAGGACCGGAGUGGACGAACCUCUGGUGUUCCGGUUGUCACGCCAGUGGCAUUGCCGGGUAGCUAUGUUCGGAAGCGAUAACCGCUGAAAGCAUCUAAGCGGGAAGCGCGCCUCAAGAUGAGAUCUCCCGGGGCACAAGCCCCCUGAAGGAACCAUGUAGACUACGUGGUUGAUAGGUCAGGUGUGUAAGUACAGCAAUGUAUUGAGCUAACUGAUACUAAUGAUCCGUGCGGCUUGACCAU
This 1359-nucleotide ribosomal RNA is filed under the name Oryza sativa Indica Group (long-grained rice). RNAcentral's name for it is "bacterial LSU rRNA". It matches the Rfam family "Bacterial large subunit ribosomal RNA", at positions 1586 to 2925 of the family's 2925-position model. Lineage: Eukaryota; Viridiplantae; Streptophyta; Magnoliopsida; Poales; Poaceae. The record is from RNAcentral.